UACGAGUGGUCCAAGCGUUAUCCGGAAUUAUUGGGCGUAAAGAGUGCGUAGGUGGAAAUAUUAGUCAGUCGUUUAACCCAUGGGCUCAACCUGUGGAUUGCGAUUGAAACGGUAUUUCUUGAGGAUGUGAAAGGUGUGCGGAACUCAUGGUGUAGGGGUGAAAUCCGUUGAUAUCAUGGGGAACACCAAAAGCGAAGGCAGCACACUAGCACACUCCUGACACUGAGGCACGAAAGCGUGGGUAGCGAAUGGG
RNAcentral lists this ribosomal RNA (253 nucleotides) under uncultured bacterium. Its description in RNAcentral is "partial 16S ribosomal RNA". It matches the Rfam family "Bacterial small subunit ribosomal RNA", at positions 524 to 776 of the family's 1533-position model. The record is from RNAcentral.